This 301-nucleotide ribosomal RNA is filed under the name uncultured bacterium. RNAcentral describes it as "partial 16S ribosomal RNA". It matches the Rfam family "Bacterial small subunit ribosomal RNA", at positions 509 to 809 of the family's 1533-position model. The record is from RNAcentral.
CAGUCGCCGCGGGAAUACGUAGGUGGCAAGCGUUGUCCGGAAUUAUUGGGCGUAAAGGGCUCGCAGGCGGUUUCUUAAGUCUGAUGUGAAAGCCCCCGGCUCAACCGGGGAGGGUCAUUGGAAACUGGGAAACUUGAGUGCAGAAGAGGAGAGUGGAAUUCCACGUGUAGCGGUGAAAUGCGUAGAGAUGUGGAGGAACACCAGUGGCGGAGGCGACUCUCUGGUCUGUAACUGACGCUGAGGAGCGAAAGCGUGGGGAGCGAACAGGAUUAGAUACCCCAGUAGUCCCUGUCUCUUAUAA